AUAGCAACUAAAAGAAAAACUACAGAAACGCGCAUCAACAUCUUGCAUAAAAGAAAGAAAACACUUUAUCGCCAUAUACUCGGCGUUGAU
Molecule: long non-coding RNA, 90 nt
Organism: Xenia sp. Carnegie-2017
Lineage: Eukaryota; Metazoa; Cnidaria; Anthozoa; Malacalcyonacea; Xeniidae
Exons: 3
Source: RefSeq, a predicted model, not a curated record